RNAcentral lists this ribosomal RNA (228 nucleotides) under uncultured bacterium. RNAcentral describes it as "partial 16S ribosomal RNA". It matches the Rfam family "Bacterial small subunit ribosomal RNA", at positions 568 to 795 of the family's 1533-position model. The record is from RNAcentral.
UGCGUAGGCGGAUUUAUAAGUCAGUGGUGAAAUCCUACAGCUUAACUGUAGAACUGCCAUUGAUACUGUAGAUCUUGAGUACGGUUGAGGUGGGCGGAAUGUGUCAUGUAGCGGUGAAAUGCUUAGAUAUGACACAGAACACCAAUUGCGAAGGCAGCUCGCUAAACCGUAACUGACGCUGAGGCACGAAGGCGUGGGGAGCGAACAGGAUUAGAUACCCUGGUAGUC